CGCCUCUUGACCAAAAAUAAGAGGUCUAGCCUGCCCAGUGAUUAAAUUCAACGGCCGCGGUACCCUAACCGUGCAAAGGUAGCACAAUCACUUGUUCCAUAAAUAGGGACUAGUAUGAACGGCAUCACGAAGACUAUACUGUCUCCCCCAUCUAAUCAGUGAAACUGAUCUUCCCGUGAAGAAGCGGGAAUUAACAUAUAAGACGAGAAGACCCCAUGGAGCUUCAAACUAAGUACCACCCACCACUCAAAUAAACCACUACAGCCCACUGGGAUUGGUCACUUGUUUUUGGUUGGGGUGACCGCGGAGCAAGCACAACCUCCACAAUGAACGGGACUAACCCCCUAACUCAAGACCCACAACUCAAUAAAUCAGCAUACUGACAUAAAUUGACCCAAACCCAUUGAACAAUGAACCUAGUUACCCUGGGGAUAACAGCGCAAUCCAUUUAAAGAGCCCAUAUCGACAAAUGGGUUUACGACCUCGAUGUUGGAUCAGGGUAUCCCAGUGGUGCAGCCGCUACUAAAGGUUCGUUUGUUCAACGAUUAAAACCCUA
Molecule: ribosomal RNA, 556 nt
Filed under: Leptodactylodon erythrogaster (redbelly egg frog)
Lineage: Eukaryota; Metazoa; Chordata; Amphibia; Anura; Arthroleptidae
Description: partial 16S ribosomal RNA
Rfam family: Bacterial large subunit ribosomal RNA
Source: RNAcentral